ACGCUCGACACCUACGGGGGNGAGCAGUCGGGAAUAUUGCGCAAUGGAGGAAACUCUGACGCAGUGACGCCGCGUAUAGGAAGAAGGUUUUCGGAUUGUAAACUAUUGUCGUUAGGGAAGAAAAAGGACAGUACCUAAGGAGGAAGCUCCGGCUAACUACGUGCCAGCAGCCACGGUAAUCUGAGCGGGCUGGCAAGGC
This 199-nucleotide ribosomal RNA is filed under the name uncultured bacterium. RNAcentral's name for it is "partial 16S ribosomal RNA". It matches the Rfam family "Bacterial small subunit ribosomal RNA", at positions 328 to 539 of the family's 1533-position model. The record is from RNAcentral.